RNAcentral lists this transfer RNA (70 nucleotides) under Loxodonta africana (African savanna elephant). It matches the Rfam family "tRNA". Rfam says of the family: Transfer RNA (tRNA) molecules are approximately 80 nucleotides in length. Lineage: Eukaryota; Metazoa; Chordata; Mammalia; Proboscidea; Elephantidae. The record is from Rfam by way of RNAcentral.
GCAAUGGUGAUUCAGUGGUAGAAUUCUUGCCUUUCAUAUGGAAGACCCAGGUUUGAUUCUGGCCAAUGCA